AUUGAACGCUGGCGGCAGGCUUAACACAUGCAAGUCGAGCGGGGGAAGGUAGCUUGCUACCGGACCUAGCGGCCGACGGGUGAGUAAUGCUUAGGAAUCUGCCUAUCAGUGGGGGACAACAUGCCGAAAGGGAUGCUAGUACCGCAUACGUCCUACGGGAGAAAGCAGGGGAUCUGCGGACCUUGCGCUACUAGAUGAGCCUAGGACGGGUUAGCUAGUUGGUGGGGUAAAGGCCUACCAAGGCGACGAUCUGUAGCGGGUCUGAGAGGAUGAGCCGCCACACUGGGACUGAGACACGGCCCAGACUCCUACGGGAGGCAGCAGUGGGGAAUAUUGGACAAUGGGGGGAACCCUGGUACAGCCAUGCCGCGUGUGUGAAGAAGGCCUUAUGGUUGUAAAGCACUUUAAGCGAGGAGGAGGCUACUCUAGUUAAUACCUAGGGAUAGUGGACGUUACUCGCAGAAUAAGCACCGGCUAACUCUGUGCCAGCCGCCGCCGUAA
Molecule: ribosomal RNA, 501 nt
Filed under: uncultured bacterium
Lineage: Bacteria
Description: partial 16S ribosomal RNA
Rfam family: Bacterial small subunit ribosomal RNA
Source: RNAcentral